RNAcentral lists this ribosomal RNA (497 nucleotides) under uncultured bacterium. RNAcentral's name for it is "partial 16S ribosomal RNA". It matches the Rfam family "Bacterial small subunit ribosomal RNA", at positions 28 to 507 of the family's 1533-position model. The record is from RNAcentral.
GAUGAACGCUGGCGGCGUGCCUAAUACAUGCAAGUCGAGCGAACGGACGAGAAGCUUGCUUCUCAGAUGUUAGCGGCGGACGGGUGAGUAACACGUGGAUAACCUACCUAUAAGACUGGGAUAACUUCGGGAAACCGGAGCUAAUACCGGAUGAUAUUUUGAACCGCAUGGUUCAAAAGUGAAAGACGGUCUUGCUGUCACUUAUAGAUGGAUCCGCGCUGCAUUAGCUAGUUGGUAAGGUAACGGCUUACCAAGGCAACGAUGCAUAGCCGACCUGGGAGGGUGAUCGGCCACACUGGAACUGAGACACGGUCCAGACUCCUACGGGAGGCAGCAGUAGGGAAUCUUCCGCAAUGGGCGAAAGCCUGACGGAGCAACGCCGCGUGAGUGAUGAAGGUCUUCGGAUCGUAAAACUCUGUUAUUAGGGAAGAACAUAUGUGUAAGUAACUGUGCACAUCUUGACGGUACCUAAUCAGAAAGCCACGGCUAACUACGUG